GGUUCUGUAGUGUAGCGGUUAUCACGUCUGCUUUACACGCAGAAGGUCGCGAGUUCGAGCCUCGCCAGAACCU
This is a transfer RNA of Lottia gigantea (owl limpet), 73 nucleotides long. It matches the Rfam family "tRNA". From Rfam's summary of the family: Transfer RNA (tRNA) molecules are approximately 80 nucleotides in length. Their secondary structure includes four short double-helical elements and three loops (D, anti-codon, and T loops). The record is from Rfam. NCBI's taxonomy places the organism in Eukaryota, Metazoa, Mollusca, Gastropoda, Lottiidae.